This 548-nucleotide ribosomal RNA is filed under the name uncultured bacterium. RNAcentral describes it as "bacterial SSU rRNA". It matches the Rfam family "Bacterial small subunit ribosomal RNA", at positions 355 to 896 of the family's 1533-position model. The record is from RNAcentral.
UAGGGAAUCUUCCGCAAUGGGCGAAAGCCUGACGGAGCAACGCCGCGUGAGUGAAGAAGGAUUUCGGUUCGUAAAGCUCUGUUGUUAGGGAAGAAUGAUUGUAUAGUAACUAUAUACAGUAGAGACGGUACCUAACCAGAAAGCCACGGCUAACUACGUGCCAGCAGCCGCGGUAAUACGUAGGUGGCAAGCGUUGUCCGGAAUUAUUGGGCGUAAAGCGCGCGCAGGUGGUUUAAUAAGUCUGAUGUGAAAGCCCACGGCUCAACCGUGGAGGGUCAUUGGAAACUGUUAAACUUGAGUGCAGGAGAGAAAAGUGGAACUCCUAGUGUAGCGGUGAAAUGCGUAGAGAUUAGGAGGGACACCAGUGGCGAAGGCGGCUUUUUGGCCUGUAACUGACACUGAGGCGCGAAAGCGUGGGGAGCAAACAGGAUUAGAUACCCUGGUAGUCCACGCCGUAAACGAUGAGUGCUAAGUGUUGGUCUCAUAAGAGAUCAGUGCUGCAGCUAACGCAUUAAGCACUCCGCCUGGGGAGUACGACCGCAAGGUUG